GACAGGAGGGACAGGUGAGGGACAGGUGGGACAGGUGAGGGACAGGUGAGGGACAGGUGGGACAGGGGAGGGACAGGUGGGACAGGUGAGGGACAGGUGAGGGACAGGUGGGACAGGUGGGACAGGUGGGAUAGGGGAGGGACAGGUGAGGGACAGGUGAGGGACAGGGGAGAGAGAAAAACAAACAAAAAAUCAUCUCCAUGUUUGGAACCCAAAAUCUCCCGGAUUUUCCCCAUUCUGGAACCUAAAACCUUCCUGGACCCGUCCAGGUGAGACAGGUGAGCUCAGGUCAGACAGGUGAG
Molecule: long non-coding RNA, 302 nt
Organism: Serinus canaria (Common canary)
Lineage: Eukaryota; Metazoa; Chordata; Aves; Passeriformes; Fringillidae
Exons: 2
Source: RefSeq, a predicted model, not a curated record